This 65-nucleotide transfer RNA is filed under the name Parafagocyba longa. RNAcentral describes it as "tRNA-Phe". The record is from RNAcentral. Lineage: Eukaryota; Metazoa; Arthropoda; Insecta; Hemiptera; Cicadellidae.
AUUUUAAUAGCUUAAAUUUUUAGAGCUUUGUAUUGAAGAUACAAUGGUGAAUAUUUCUUAAAAUA